AUGUGUUUGUGUGUGUGUGUUUUCUUUUGUUAUGGCAGGGUGAGCAAGGAGAACUGGGGGAAACAGGUUACCCAGGAGACCCUGGUCUUCCAGGCCCACAGGGCCCAAGAGGACCACAAGGGAUCAGAGGACCUCCAGGACCACAAGGCAUUCCAGGCUCUCGGGCUAGUCUGGGUCCCCCAGGUCCACCUGGUUCAAGUGGAAAGCCUGGUGCAAGAGGAGUAAAGGGUGAACCUGGUGACCCUGGAGAGAAAGGCCCUGUGGGACCACCUGGACCGAGAGGCAUACCAGGUGUGGAUGGCAGAGACACCUAUGGUCCUGAAGGAAGCAAAGGAGCAAAGGGGGAGUCUGGAUUCAUAGGGUAUCCUGGUCCAGAGGGAGAAGUUGGAGACCCGGGUGUUUCAGGAGCUAAAGGACCCAAAGGAAUUAGAGGUAGAAGGGGUAAUGCUGGCACACCAGGUUCCCUGGGAGAUCCAGGGGACCAAGGACCACCAGGACCUAUGGGUGCCAAGGGACAAAGAGGCACUGUUUUAAUGGAAGUAAGUAACUAG
Molecule: long non-coding RNA, 551 nt
Filed under: Coturnix japonica (Japanese quail)
Lineage: Eukaryota; Metazoa; Chordata; Aves; Galliformes; Phasianidae
Description: lncRNA (ENSCJPG00005000814.1)
Source: RNAcentral